This 372-nucleotide ribosomal RNA is filed under the name uncultured Rikenellaceae bacterium. Its description in RNAcentral is "bacterial SSU rRNA". It matches the Rfam family "Bacterial small subunit ribosomal RNA", at positions 1014 to 1382 of the family's 1533-position model. Lineage: Bacteria; Pseudomonadati; Bacteroidota; Bacteroidia; Bacteroidales; Rikenellaceae. The record is from RNAcentral.
GCCAGCGAUGGCCGCUUGCGAGGUGGCUGCAUGGUUGUCGUCAGCUCGUGCCGUGAGGUGUCGGGUUAAGUCCCACUAACGAGCGCAACCCCACUGCUAGUUGCCAGCGGGUCGAUGCCGGGGACGUCUAGCGGGAACUGCCAGCGUAAGCUGCGAGGAAGGUGGGGAGUGACGUCAAAUCAGCACGGCCCUUACGUCCAGGGCUACACACGUGUUACAAUGGCCAGUACAGAGGGCAGCCACCCCGCGAGGGGGCGCUAAUCCUAAAAGCUGGUCCCAGUUCGGAUCGGAGUCUGCAACCCGACUCCGUGAAGCUGGAUUCGCUAGUAAUCGCGCAUCAGCCACGGCGCGGUGAAUACGUUCCCGGGCCUU